GCUCGGAUGGUCUAGUGGUAUGAUUCUCGCUUAGGGUGCGAGAGGUCCCAGGUUCAAAUCCUGGUUCGAGCC
This 72-nucleotide transfer RNA is filed under the name Pyronema omphalodes CBS 100304. RNAcentral describes it as "tRNA-Pro". It matches the Rfam family "tRNA". Rfam says of the family: Transfer RNA (tRNA) molecules are approximately 80 nucleotides in length. Their secondary structure includes four short double-helical elements and three loops (D, anti-codon, and T loops). The record is from RNAcentral. Lineage: Eukaryota; Fungi; Ascomycota; Pezizomycetes; Pezizales; Pyronemataceae.